CCUACGGGAGGCAGCAGUGAGGAAUAUUGGUCAAUGGGCGCGAGCCUGAACCAGCCAAGUCGCGUGAGGGAAGACGGUCCUAUGGAUUGUAAACCUCUUUUGUCGGGGAGCAAAAGACGCCACGCGUGGCGUUCCGAGAGUACCCUACGAACAAGCAUCGCCUAACUCCGUGCCAGCAGCCGCGGUAAUACGGAGGAUGCGAGCGUUAUCCGGAUUUAUGGGGUUAAAAGGGUGCGCGGGCGGAUGUUAAAGUCAGCGGUAAAAUUGAGAGGCUCAACCUGUACGAGCCGUUGAAACUGGUAGGCUUGAGUGAGGGAGAGGUGGGUAGAAUGCGUGGUGUAGCGGUGAAAUGCAUAGAUAUCUCGCAGAACACCGGUGGCGAAGGCAGCACACCGGAGCUAAACUGACGCUCAUGUACGAAAGUGUGGGUAGCGAACAGGAUUAGAUACCCGUGUAGUC
RNAcentral lists this ribosomal RNA (459 nucleotides) under uncultured bacterium. RNAcentral's name for it is "partial 16S ribosomal RNA". It matches the Rfam family "Bacterial small subunit ribosomal RNA", at positions 338 to 795 of the family's 1533-position model. The record is from RNAcentral.